ACGCAAGGACGACCUUGCCCCUCACCCACCAUCAUCCGGGGACGACCCCC
RNAcentral lists this non-coding RNA (50 nucleotides) under Pseudomonadales bacterium. RNAcentral describes it as "Guanidine-II sequence". It matches the Rfam family "Guanidine-II riboswitch aptamer (mini-ykkC)". From Rfam's summary of the family: Simpler in structure and has fewer highly conserved nucleotide positions than the ykkC-yxkD leader. Despite this each of its two stem-loop structures directly bind free guanidine. The record is from RNAcentral. Lineage: Bacteria; Pseudomonadati; Pseudomonadota; Gammaproteobacteria; Pseudomonadales.